Microtus ochrogaster (prairie vole) is the source of this 105-nucleotide small nuclear RNA. NCBI's taxonomy places the organism in Eukaryota, Metazoa, Chordata, Mammalia, Rodentia, Cricetidae. The record is from Ensembl.
GUGCUCAUCUCAGGAACACAUAUACUAAAUUGAAAGGAUACAAAGAAAUUAUCAUGGUCUUUGUUAAUGGAUGGCAUGCAAAUCCAUGAAGUAUUCUAUUCUUUU